This 345-nucleotide ribosomal RNA is filed under the name uncultured bacterium. RNAcentral describes it as "bacterial SSU rRNA". It matches the Rfam family "Bacterial small subunit ribosomal RNA", at positions 1149 to 1493 of the family's 1533-position model. The record is from RNAcentral.
CUGCCGGUGAUAAACCGGAGGAAGGUGGGGAUGACGUCAAGUCAUCAUGGCCCUUACGGCCAGGGCUACACACGUGCUACAAUGGCGCGUACAGAGGGCUGCAAGCUAGCGAUAGUGAGCGAAUCCCAAAAAGCGCGUCGUAGUCCGGAUCGGAGUCUGCAACUCGACUCCGUGAAGUCGGAAUCGCUAGUAAUCGCAAAUCAGAAUGUUGCGGUGAAUACGUUCCCGGGCCUUGUACACACCGCCCGUCACACCAUGGGAGUGGGUUGCACCAGAAGUAGAUAGCUUAACUUUCGGGAGGGCGUUUACCACGGUGUGAUUCAUGACUGGGGUGAAGUCGUAACA